Molecule: long non-coding RNA, 496 nt
Organism: Amphimedon queenslandica
Lineage: Eukaryota; Metazoa; Porifera; Demospongiae; Haplosclerida; Niphatidae
Exons: 5
Source: RefSeq, a predicted model, not a curated record
UCCAUGGCAACAGGAGCUGAUAGAACGAUGAGUUUUGGUAGCUUCAGUGAUGGGUUUGGGGCGUGGCUUCUAGUUGCUAUGACGACAGCGAAUGUGAUGCUUUUGUGGAUGAAGCAAAAAGACGUAUACAAAGUUUUUUGGAUGCUUCUCCUCCUCCUCCUCCUUUGACUCCACCCACUUCAUCAUUGACUGCCAGGAAAUACACUGAUACUUCAUUACUGCUGUUUCCUAAAAUACAGUGUCCUACUGAUGUCUCUUCUAUCCAAUCCACUGACACUACUAUUGAUGACCAGUGGAACAUUGCUGAUAGCAUAUCACAGAAAUACCUAACCAAGAACAUGAGCUUCUUUUAUGUCAAAAAGUCUAACGGUUGACAACAGCACAAUCAAGUUUCAAGUAUGGGAUACAGCUGGACAGGAGAGAUAUCGGUCGCUAUUACCAAUGUAUUACAGAAAUGCAGUAGCAGCCAUUGUGGUGUAUGAUACAACGAAUGAAG